Molecule: transfer RNA, 22 nt
Filed under: Boana microderma (smallskin treefrog)
Lineage: Eukaryota; Metazoa; Chordata; Amphibia; Anura; Hylidae
Description: Hypsiboas microderma (smallskin treefrog) partial tRNA-Gln
Source: RNAcentral
AGGUUCAAUUCCUAUUUUUCUA